UGAGCAUUUAGAUCAAAGGGAUAAAUUAUACGGUAACCAUACGUCAGUAGGUUCUAGAAGGUUGCUUUGCAAUACUUUGAUCUAUCCGGUUGUUGGGUCAUCAUUGCUAGAUGGUUACAUCAAUUGGUAUAGAAAGUUAUUUCUAUACUACCGACUUAGGUUCGGACCUAUGAGAUUACAUGUAUUAGAAGAUUUGAUC
Molecule: long non-coding RNA, 199 nt
Filed under: Elaeis guineensis (African oil palm)
Lineage: Eukaryota; Viridiplantae; Streptophyta; Magnoliopsida; Arecales; Arecaceae
Description: long non-coding RNA (EGUI_LNC028330)
Source: RNAcentral